AUGACCUCCCAGCCGCAGUUUCGCAAACCAACAGCAGCACUCUACAGAGCGCAACGCAUGACCAUCUGCUCUGCUCUUGGUAGUCUCACACGCUGUACCAGGGAGAAAAGCUAUUGCACAACACAAGGAGCAGCAAGAUGUUUGUUUGUUUUUCCAGGUGAUAAUUUUGGCCUCGCAGUUACCAUAAACAUGACGAAUGGGUCUGCUGUGGAUUUAACACAAUUUUGUGGUGAUGGAAUUUAUGUGAGAGAGCCCAAGCUCUGUGUUCAGCUCAUCACCACACUUGGUCUCACAGGAGUACAGCACAACCAACUGCAAGAGCAGCAAACGCUUCCUUCUUCCUGA
This 345-nucleotide long non-coding RNA is filed under the name Apteryx owenii (little spotted kiwi). Its description in RNAcentral is "lncRNA (ENSAOWG00000002529.1)". The record is from RNAcentral. Lineage: Eukaryota; Metazoa; Chordata; Aves; Apterygiformes; Apterygidae.